CGGUCUUGCUGUCACUUAUAGAUGGAUCCGCGCUGCAUUAGCUAGUUGGUAAGGUAACGGCUUACCAAGGCAACGAUGCAUAGCCGACCUGAGAGGGUGAUCGGCCACACUGGAACUGAGACACGGUCCAGACUCCUACGGGAGGCAGCAGUAGGGAAUCUUCCGCAAUGGGCGAAAGCCUGACGGAGCAACGCCGCGUGAGUGAUGAAGGUCUUCGGAUCGUAAAACUCUGUUAUUAGGGAAGAACAUAUGUGUAAGUAACUGUGCACAUCUUGACGGUACCUAAUCAGAAAGCCACGGCUAACUACGUGCCAGCAGCCGCGGUAAUACGUAGGUGGCAAGCGUUAUCCGGAAUUAUUGGGCGUAAAGCGCGCGUAGGCGGUUUUUUAAGUCUGAUGUGAAAGCCCACGGCUCAACCGUGGAGGGUCAUUGGAAACUGGAAAACUUGAGUGCAGAAGAGGAAAGUGGAAUUCCAUGUGUAGCGGUGAAAUGCGCAGAGAUAUGGAGGAACACCAGUGGCGAAGGCGACUUUCUGGUCUGUAACUGACGCUGAUGUGCGAAAGCGUGGGGAUCAAACAGGAUUAGAUACCCUGGUAGUCCACGCCGUAAACGAUGAGUGCUAAGUGUUAGGGGGUUUCCGCCCCUUAGUGCUGCAGCUAACGCAUUAAGCACUCCGCCUGGGGAGUACGACCGCAAGGUUGAAACUCAAAGGAAUUGACGGGGACCCGCACAAGCGGUGGAGCAUGUGGUUUAAUUCGAAGCAACGCGAAGAACCUUACCAAAUCUUGACAUCCUUUGACAACUCUAGAGAUAGAGCAUUCCCCUUCGGGGGACAAAGUGACAGGUGGUGCAUGGUUGUCGUCAGCUCGUGUCGUGAGAUGUUGGGUUAAGUCCCGCAACGAGCGCAACCCUUAAGCUUAGUUGCCAUCAUUAAGUUGGGCACUCUAAGUUGACUGCCGGUGACAAACCGGAGGAAGGUGGGGAUGACGUCAAAUCAUCAUGCCCCUUAUGAUUUGGGCUACACACGUGCUACAAUGGACAAUACAAAGGGCAGCGAAACUGCGAGGUCAAGCAAAUCCCAUAAAGUUGUUCUCAGUUCGGAUUGUAGUCUGCAACUCGACUACAUGAAGCUGGAAUCGCUAGUAAUCGUAAAUCAGCAUGCUACGGUGAAUACGUUCCCGGGUCUUGUACACACCGCCCGUCACACCACGAGAGUUUGUAACACCCGAAGCCGGUGGAGUAACCUUUUAGGAGCUAGCCGUCGAAGGUGGGACAAAUGAUUGGGGUGAAGUCGUAACAAGGUAGCCGUAUCGGAAGGU
RNAcentral lists this ribosomal RNA (1319 nucleotides) under Staphylococcus aureus. RNAcentral's name for it is "bacterial SSU rRNA". It matches the Rfam family "Bacterial small subunit ribosomal RNA", at positions 202 to 1513 of the family's 1533-position model. The record is from RNAcentral. Lineage: Bacteria; Bacillati; Bacillota; Bacilli; Caryophanales; Staphylococcaceae.